GCGGGUGUGAUGGAAUGGCAGACAUGCAAGAUUUAGGUUCUUGUGCCGCAAGGCGUGCAGGUUCAAGUCCUGUCACCCGCACCA
RNAcentral lists this transfer RNA (84 nucleotides) under Clostridia bacterium. RNAcentral describes it as "tRNA-Leu". It matches the Rfam family "tRNA". From Rfam's summary of the family: Transfer RNA (tRNA) molecules are approximately 80 nucleotides in length. Their secondary structure includes four short double-helical elements and three loops (D, anti-codon, and T loops). Further hydrogen bonds mediate the characteristic L-shaped molecular structure. tRNAs have two regions of fundamental functional importance: the anti-codon, which is responsible for specific mRNA codon recognition, and the 3' end, to which the tRNAs corresponding amino acid is attached (by aminoacyl-tRNA synthetases). tRNAs cope with the degeneracy of the genetic code in two manners: having more than one tRNA (with a specific anti-codon) for a particular amino acid; and 'wobble' base-pairing, i.e. permitting non-standard base-pairing at the 3rd anti-codon position. Lineage: Bacteria; Bacillati; Bacillota; Clostridia. The record is from RNAcentral.